This 301-nucleotide ribosomal RNA is filed under the name uncultured bacterium. RNAcentral's name for it is "partial 16S ribosomal RNA". It matches the Rfam family "Bacterial small subunit ribosomal RNA", at positions 509 to 807 of the family's 1533-position model. The record is from RNAcentral.
CAGUCGCCACGGGAAUACGAAGGGUGCAAGCGUUAAUCGGAAUUACUGGGCGUAAAGCGUGCGUAGGCGGUGAGUUAAGUCUGCUGUGAAAUCCCCGGGCUUAACCUGGGAACUGCGCUUGUGACUGCACAGCUAGAGUAUGGCAGAGGGGGGUGGAAUUCCACGUGUAGCAGUGAAAUGCGUAGAGAUGUGGAGGAACACCGAUGGCGAAGGCAGCCCCAUGGGCCAAUACUGACGCUCAUGCACGAAAGCGUGGGGAGCAAACAGGAUUAGAUACCCGCGUAGUCCCUGUCUCUUAUAC